GAAGUCCCACAGUAAACAGAUCCCUAAACACAACAGCCUCGCCGACCUCGGGCGUCGGAACUGCUUCACUCCCGGGGGCUCUGCCCAUCCCCUUAGGGAAAAAGAGGCUCUCCUCAAAAGAUGUAAUGUCUUGCGAGGUCACCUGCGAGUGCCCAAAAUAAAGAGUAGGGACGCACGAAACCUUCCCCCCGACGGAUGCCUCGGGUCUCACUUCAACCUCGACAUCCUCCUCCCCAACCUCUUCCUCAUCCAAGGAUACGGCAUGAACCUUGGUUCCCCCAGUACCUUUCGAGGUUUGCCCCUGUCCACCUUCUCCUUCAUCACCGUCAGAGGACCAAUC
This 340-nucleotide long non-coding RNA is filed under the name Setaria viridis. Its description in RNAcentral is "long non-coding RNA (SVIR_LNC006671)". The record is from RNAcentral. Lineage: Eukaryota; Viridiplantae; Streptophyta; Magnoliopsida; Poales; Poaceae.